Molecule: ribosomal RNA, 253 nt
Filed under: uncultured bacterium
Lineage: Bacteria
Description: partial 16S ribosomal RNA
Rfam family: Bacterial small subunit ribosomal RNA
Source: RNAcentral
UACGGGGGGGGCAAGCGUUGUUCGGAAUUACUGGGCGUAAAGGGCGCGUAGGCGGCCAACUAAGUCAGACGUGAAAUCCCUCGGCUUAACCGGGGAACUGCGUCUGAUACUGGAUGGCUUGAGUUUGGGAGAGGGAUGCGGAAUUCCAGGUGUAGCGGUGAAAUGCGUAGAUAUCUGGAGGAACACCGGUGGCGAAGGCGGCAUCCUGGACCAACACUGACACUGAUGAGCGAAAGCCAGGGGAGCAAACGGG